UCUGUAUGUUCUGUCCAGGCAAAUCAAAUCAUACAUGAGUACAACAGGUAUUGCAAAAGAGAAAACGAACAGUGCAGAAUAUAGUGUCGCAACUACCGAGAAAGUACAGAUUAAAAAAAAGAACAAGGGCUGCAACGAGGUAGAUUGGAAGAUCGGAAAUUCACCCCCAACAUAUGAGAGGUCUGUUCAAGUGUCUGAUAACAGCGGGGAAGAAGCUGUUCUUGAAUAUGGACGUACCUGGUUUAAUGUUCUGUCAAUGCUGCUUUAACAGAGGGAAGACUAUUCUUAAACAUUCUCUCUCCCCAACCCUCAUCCUCCUUGGUGCAAUGUUUUUUUUCUGUUCACAAUGUUCUAAAAACUGGCAAGACUCACUUGUAUUUAUUGGUUUAUGUAUGAUUGCUGGAUAUUGAUUUUUGCUUCAACAUUCUAGUUUGUAAUAUCACUGGUCCACAGGUACUAUACUUUCACUGUUGCAAACAGAAUUCUUCUACUCAUGAUUUUUUAUGAAAGGUCUUAAAAUUUAAUGGUAUUUUAAUUCCAUGUUACAGUAAAUUUCAUCAACAAUGCUAAAUCAACAUAUGGCAUUUAAAUGAAUUCCAUUCCUCUCUCUUUGUGACCAGACUAUUUGCUGUAUUCUGAUCUGAGGAUCUAGAUCACUAGUUAAUGCUGCAAAUUUUAAGGCAAUUCACAGUCACGGUAUUAACAGUGAUUUUAUUAAGGAAUGCAGAUGGAAAACAAUUUAACUUGAUUUAAACAGGAUGCAACAUCAAUUAUUAACACUAUAAAUACAAUACAGGAAACCAGGAAAUAUAGAAUUGCAU
Molecule: long non-coding RNA, 821 nt
Organism: Amblyraja radiata (thorny skate)
Lineage: Eukaryota; Metazoa; Chordata; Chondrichthyes; Rajiformes; Rajidae
Exons: 2
Source: RefSeq, a predicted model, not a curated record